AACGGCCAUACUAUGAUGAAUAUACCGGUUCUCGUUAGAUCACCGAAGUCAAGCAUCAUUGGGCGCGGUCAGUACUUGGGUGGGUGACCACCUGGGAACACCGCGUGCCGUU
Molecule: ribosomal RNA, 112 nt
Filed under: Caerostris extrusa
Lineage: Eukaryota; Metazoa; Arthropoda; Arachnida; Araneae; Araneidae
Source: RNAcentral